This 456-nucleotide ribosomal RNA is filed under the name uncultured soil bacterium. RNAcentral describes it as "bacterial SSU rRNA". It matches the Rfam family "Bacterial small subunit ribosomal RNA", at positions 923 to 1379 of the family's 1533-position model. The record is from RNAcentral.
GCACAAGCGGUGGAGCAUGUGGUUUAAUUCGAUGCAACGCGAAGAACCUUACCUGGCCUUGACAUCCAUGGGAUCCCGAAGAGAUUUGGGAGUGCCGCAAGGAACCAUGAGACAGGUGCUGCAUGGCUGUCGUCAGCUCGUGUCGUGAGAUGUUGGGUUAAGUCCCGCAACGAGCGCAACCCUUGUCCUUAGUUGCCAUCAUUCAGUUGGGAACUCUAAGGAGACCGCCGGUGACAAACCGGAGGAAGGUGGGGAUGACGUCAAGUCAUCAUGGCCUUUAUGGCCAGGGCUACACACGUGCUACAAUGGCAAGUACAGAGGGAAGCCAACCGGCGACGGGGAGCUAAUCCCAGAAAACUUGUCUUAGUCCGGAUUGGAGUCUGCAACUCGACUCCAUGAAGUUGGAAUCGCUAGUAAUCGCAGAUCAGCAUUGCUGCGGUGAAUACGUUCCCGGGC